This 253-nucleotide ribosomal RNA is filed under the name uncultured bacterium. RNAcentral's name for it is "partial 16S ribosomal RNA". It matches the Rfam family "Bacterial small subunit ribosomal RNA", at positions 524 to 776 of the family's 1533-position model. The record is from RNAcentral.
UACGGGGGGGGCAAGCGUUGUUCGGAAUUACUGGGCGUAAAGGGCUCGUAGGCGGCCAACUAAGUCAGACGUGAAAUCCCCAGGCUCAACCUGGGAACUGCGUCUGAUACUGGAUGGCUUGAAUCCGGGAGAGGGAUGCAGAAUUCCAGGUGUAGCGGUGAAAUGCGUCGAUAUCUGGAGGAAUACCGGUGGCGAAGGCGGCAUCCUGGACCGGCAUUGACGCUGAGGAGCGAAAGCCAGGGGAGCAAACGGG